Long non-coding RNA from Heterocephalus glaber (naked mole-rat), 1880 nucleotides. Lineage: Eukaryota; Metazoa; Chordata; Mammalia; Rodentia; Bathyergidae. The record is from Ensembl.
GUGAUAAUCAUGGGGUGUGUAAUCCCAUCAGUGGAUUAGUCCACUGCUGGGUUUAUAGCCGAGUGUGAUGUUGGGAGGUGGAGCCUGGUAAGAGGAGGCAAUCACUGGGGGCGUGACAUGGCAGGGUCUGUCUUCCUGCCUCCCCCCUUGAUCUCUCUCUGAUUACUGCCUCCAUGUCAUGAGCUGUUUCCCCUCUGCCAUGCUGCUCUUCCUUUGAGCCAAAUGACUAUGGACUGAAACCUUUACAAACUGUGAGCUAAAUAAGCCUUUCCUCUGUUAACUUGCUGUGUCAUGUAUUGUGUUUCGAGAGAAGAAAGUGACUAAGAUACCCACCUGUCUGGACACAUAGGGCAGGCUGUGCCUCAGGGGCUUGGCACACACUGUUGCUUCCUUGGCAUUGCCUCCCUUGUUGCCCAUUCAGUUCAGGCCUUAGCCCCAGCAUCUUUCCAAGUGCCUACCACAAAACAUACCUCCAUCCCAUGGAGAUGUCUUUGUUUCUCAUCCCUCACUAGAACAUGAACAGUUUUGUGAGGGCUAGGGUUUUGAUUUGUUUUGACCUGAGUCUCCUCCAGGCCUAGAACAAUGCGUGACACACCGCAGUGGGUGGAGGAAUGGUGUUGAGUGGCCGGAUUACUGGGUCUUGCUGUGUUGCCUGAACUUGUGAUCUUCCUGCCUCAAACUCCCAAGUACCAGGAGUUACAAACUCGUGCCACCACUCCUGGCUCAUCACAAGCCCCUUUUGACAACACCUGGCUUUAUAUUAAUGAAGUCAGUUUUGGAGGGUGGGGUUGGCUGCCAGAGGAAGCAACCAAGUGACAAGGAUCCAAACUUCAGGCCUCACUUACCGCCCCCUGGGAUGGGGAGAAGGGCUGGAGUAAUCACCAAUGGCCAGCAAGGUUCAGACAACUGUGAGGCCUACUGGUUUCUGGGGUGCACCUUGAAGGGGAAGCAGAGAUCCUGGCCCUUCUUCCCAGCCACCGUGAAGUGAGCUGGCCCCUCUGCUAAGUGUUUGCACUAUGAGGAGCUGCAUUGCCUCAGGCUUGAAGCAACAGGGCCCAGGGGUGUGGACUGAAAAGUCUGAGCCAAAAGCCUUUCCUCUCUGAUUUGCCCUGGGAGAUAGAAAUCAACCUGGCAGAGAACAGAGAAAAAUUGAGGACUUAUUACAACUACAACUGAGGAGACCACAUUCAAGCCACCUCAAAAGCAUGUUCUCGGGUUUUAUAGGAUGGUGACUGUUUCCACAAUUAAUUACAUCUCUGAUGUGUCAGGACUUGUGAUGGAGCAGCAAAGGUCAAAUUGUCUUGUAAGAAUGGGUGUUUUCAGACAGCUUGGGUCUGAAGUUCAGCGUGAAUGCUCUCAAAACCUGGUCUAACAAGGCUGCCAGCUUCAUUCCAAGUGCCCUACACCAGUGCUGCUCCCUUUGAUCUUCUUCCCUGAUAGGUUCCUGGUAGCUUACCAGAAGAAUUUACAGAACAUAGUAAUUACAAAGAGAGGACAGAAUUCCUGGGCCAGGGAAAUGUAAAUGACCCUGCUGUCUGUCCCCUUACCUGGGGCUCCUCAGCCUGCAUCGCUGUCUCUGCCAGCUCAGCUUCUAUCUCGGCUCUGCACUUGCAGACCCCGUCACGGGUAGAUGCCCUCAAGCUUGUGGCUGGUGUUUCAGCUGACAGGGCUCCCUGUGCUGCGGACCAGGCCAGCCUUGCUCCCACCUGCCCUUGCUGGCCUGGCUGCCCUUGGUGUCUUCCCUGCAGGUCUGUGAAGGGAGGGUCUGGCCAGCCUCCCUGGCCUCCUGAGGGGGUCACUUGUGUUUGGGCACAACGUGACUGGAUGACACAAUCCUCUUGCUUUCCACAUUCUCUGUGUUUGGUUUGCUCUGCCCUGGG